CAGCUCCACCCAGAUGUGAUGCUGCUCAUGUUAAACAAGAAGUGUAUCUCCAUUCCUUCCUGUGACUGCCAUGUGCCUGGUGAUCCAGUCCGCAUGCUCUUUGGCACAGGAUGCCUACUCCUCUCAACUUGCUGAAGUUCACCUGCAUGUUUCCAAACACUGGAAAUGCAGAGGAAACUGAAAAAGGGAUUUAGCAACAACAGCAACAACAGGAACAACUAAAGUUCUCUGUGUCUGAGACUUGACAAGUAACAUCAAACGUGGCCCGAGAAGAAAGCUAACCAACCAUGGCUUGCAGCAUCCUUCAACCAGAAGUCAUCUUUAGUCAAGAUUUGCUACCUAAUUUGUAGUGUUUCUGUUUGUACUCUUUGAGCAGAAGUCCUAAAAUUCUUGUGGUAUAAAGCUUUACUGGUUUCUGUCUGGUAAGAUACAAUGAGAGUGAUGGAAUGCUUUAACUCUUGUAGCAAUUGUCAGCCACCACCACCCUGGUGCUCUGGCUUCAGAAACCUAGAGCUGAGACCAGUAUUUCAUUGCUCCUGAGUUUAUGUCAUGUUUUUUAUUGUAUUUUGAAUAGUAUAUCUGUAAAACUCCAAAUUUAAAGAGCAGCUCAAUUCUCUUCUGUGCCAAGUGUCCUGAAACCCUGCUAAAAUUUCCUUUGCAGGUUAAUGGGUUUUUCUUAUUUAGUUGGGUCAAAUAGAUGGCAAUGCUAUAUCAUGUCAAGAGAAAGACAAGGAUGUUUUUUGAAUCAAAACAAAUAAAAACAGUUUACAGGUCCUUUUCUCACAAGAGAAAAAAGGAAUGUCACCAGAAAAACUCAUCAACUUAUGGAGGUAAUGAAAACAAGGGAAAAACAAAACCUAGAAAACAAAGAAAACCUGCAUUUUCUAGCCCAUGAUCAAGGAAAGUUUUAUAAAAUAAUUCAAAAGCAAUAUAUUUUUUCAGUGAAGUGUCAAAGAUCUCAUGGUUCUCUAAAAACUCAGGGAAUUAACUGGAGAUUUCAGAUGGUCAUUAAAAUACAGCGCUGCUCACUUUACUCAGUAUUUGGCAGUUCUGUUGCCUUCACAGACACGCAGAGAAAGGUUGUGGUUUGCCCUUUAGUGAUUUAAACUCUUAAUACUGCAUGAUGAAACCACCUGCAGUAAGCAAUUCCAUUUCUCCAGUGAGUCUCUGAAUGUUUGCUGGCACUGGGAUGCAGUGGUGCUGGUGUCCCACUGGUUAGAUCCUCAGCUUUUCCUUGAAAGACAGGCUACUGAAAGGGACUGUGAAGAGAAGUAAGAGAACUGAAGUAUUUGGCAAACCAUUAAACAAAGGAGGAAAUCACUUUGAUACCAAAAAGCAAAUACUAGGCAUACUUGGAACAUCAUUUAAAAGCAGCUUUAUUCAAAAUAAAAGUUAAC
Molecule: long non-coding RNA, 1397 nt
Organism: Lonchura striata (white-rumped munia)
Lineage: Eukaryota; Metazoa; Chordata; Aves; Passeriformes; Estrildidae
Source: RefSeq, a predicted model, not a curated record